AUUUUACGGCGAUGUUGGUGACUGCCAAUACUGUUUUUUGAUCUAUGUUGGUUUUUAAAUGGGAGCUCAAGAUUGUUUUGCAGCCGUAUACCGAGCCAGUACUCGGAAACUUAAGCGAGAUACAGUAGCACCCACCUGGUUCUUCCAGGUCAUAAACUGAGGUAAGACGGCAUUGCGGUAAACAA
RNAcentral lists this non-coding RNA (185 nucleotides) under Coleofasciculaceae cyanobacterium SM2_1_6. RNAcentral describes it as "6S RNA". It matches the Rfam family "6S / SsrS RNA". Rfam says of the family: E. coli 6S RNA was the first non coding RNA to be sequenced, but its function was unknown until recently. It consists of 184 nucleotides that fold into an extended hairpin structure with a large single-stranded internal bulge. Lineage: Bacteria; Bacillati; Cyanobacteriota; Cyanophyceae; Coleofasciculales; Coleofasciculaceae. The record is from RNAcentral.